AGUGCCCGUUUAUUUGGUAUUUGUUUUGUUCGCUUUAGAAUUAUCUCACUGUGAUCUCGUAGCAUAAUUCAUAAUUCGCUAAUGUAAGAGCAAGAGCAGCUGCACUCCUACUAGGGCAAGUUAACUACCUCGAUCCCGUUCCGUGUGACUAAUGUUUGUCAAAUUUACAUCGGGCGUGGUGCGCCUGCAUAGUUACGCUUUGUUUCUCAGCGCUUGAAUGUUCAUUGAUGUGAUUCUCUUGUGCGUUCAGCGCGGCUGCUUGUAAUGCGGUCGUUCGCGCUUCAGUUAAAUGUGGUCGACCACUUUUGCGUCGCGUAGAAAAGGACUGGCUUAGCCACCUUUCGAAGGAACCGGCGCGGUAUUGGUUCUCCCUGAUGCGGUCGCGUGCUGCUGUUGCUGCUUGCCGGACGCCUUCAGCAUUUUAUCGGCUCGCUUUGUCUGCGUGUGCGCGUGCUCGCGCUCGGCUUGAUUUGUGUGUGCGCUCAGCUCAGCUCGCUUUGUGUGUGCGUGCGUGCGUGCGUGUGUGCGCUCAGCUCAGCUCGCUUUGUGUGUGUGUGUGUGUGUGUGUGUGUGCGCGCGCGCGCGCGUGCGUGCGUUCAGUACAUGCCGGUUUGUAUGGGCCGGCGUGUUUGCGCGUGUCUAGUGCGUACGUGUUUUGUGAGUGUUGUCUGUGGGUCGAUGUGUGUGCGUGCACGUGUUAGCGUGUCUGCCUGCAUGCAUGUAUGUGUGCUUGUUUGUGUUCAUCAAUGUGCGCGUGCGCGCUUUUGUGUCUGCGCUUUGAGAGUGCGUAUACUUGUGUGUGCGUGUGGAUGCGUUUUGUGUGCGUGCGUAUGUAUUGCAUGAGGCCGGUAGAGUUUUACUCGCAAUAAAACUCUUCCGAUUUGGUGCAGCGAGUGUUCCCGCCUGAAAGCCGAGUUUGGUUUCAAGCCACCCUGGACAACUGCUGUAUGAGGCGCCGUUUCUCGGGGGGACCAGUGGGAAGGCGCCAAGUCAUGCAGAUGGUAGCAGCGAUUUCACAAUGCCCAGCCUUGGCGCCCCCCAUCAAGAGCAAGCCACUUGCUUUCGCCUUCAGACAGAUGGUUAACGUCUUCUUGAAAGCGGUUGAGAAGACAACAUUGCUGCAAGAUUCCAGCAAUGCCAUGCGCUGCAUUUAUUGGUCAAGAUGCUCAGAGAAUGGAGUCCCUGCACCUCGUGGUUAACCGUGAACAUUUCUUUUUCUUUUGGAAAGCUAAAGGCCAUUUGCUGCAUCACUUGCAUUUUUGCAGCUCAGAUGUGUACUAUAUUUUUCUAAUUUUGAAUCAAUAUUGGCUAUUCAGUAUAAAAAAUGACGUACAGCGUGAAGGACAAGGACUGCGAGAGACACACUCCACUGACUUUCAACAAUAUUUUAUUGCGUUGCCACAUCGUAUGUGUAUACACAGAGGGGUCAUGCGCAGAAAAUGAAAGCCAGACACAAGGGGUGUUCUAACAGCAAGUCAUUGUAAAAAGAACAUGGUCACUUGAAAAAAAAAACAUCACAAUUUCUAUCUGUUUAGAUACAAAAUUUCACUAGGGGUCAGCGUGAUAGAGGGGGCACUAACGCACACACUACCCAGUUUUCUGGUGAAAUCAGCUUCAAUAAUUUACCGGGUGAGCUGUGUCUCGCUAAAACUUCGGUAUCUUAAAGAGGGGCAUGCAGCCGCAGUCCCGGCAAUGAAUGCCCAAGUGGCCUUGAACAGUGUUAUGGACGUUGUUAUAGUGCUCUCUUAAACGAUCAUUUAGGCGCAAGCCUAUCUGUCCAAUAUAUUUACUGCCUCAAAAUGGGAAUUUGGGAAACCACAUUCAUUGCACACAUCGCAAAACGUUUUCUGUGCUCGGCAGAGCAACAACUCUGACGUGAUUUAGGCGCGUUUACACACUUACAGAGCCUUGCCAGCUUUUCCGGGGCUGAGAAAAGGACUGUGAUUUCUGCAGGUCCCCUAAUCUUUUUUAGCCUAUGGGAGACAUCAUGAACAUACGGUAGCACUGCAAACCUGUGUCUUUCAACCGGCUGGUUCCUUGACCGAGCGUGCUCAUCAUGUUUUGUGCACUUCAGAAGCUGUUCCGCUAUGGCUGAAAUUAAGGCCAAAGGGUAGCCAACCCAAGAAAGGCAAUCAGCCUGUGCAGCAACGCUAUGUUGCAUCUCUUGUGAGCAAGAUUUAUUGAGGCUGUUAAGGAGGCAAAGCUUCACAAUAUCUCAUUUGACUUUGUUGGACAGACAGGCAGGCGCCUAAACAAUCAUUUAGGAGAGCACGAUAACAACGUCCAUAACACUGUUCAAGGCCACUUCGGCAUCCAUUGCUGGGACUGCGGCUGCAUGCCCCUCUUUGAAGGUACGGAAGCUUUAGUGAGACAGGUCAUCCAGGAAACUAUAGAAGCAGAUUUCACUAGAAAACUGGUUAGUGUGUGCGUUAGUGACCCCUCUAUCGUGCUGACCCCUAGUGAAGUCUUGUAUCUCAACAGAUAGAAAUUCUAAUGUUUAUUUUUUUCAAAGGACGAUGUUCUUAGUACAGUCACUUGCUGUUAGACACCCCUUGUGACUCAUAUUCUGCGCAUGCCCGCUUUUGUGCAAAUAUACUCGAUGUGGCAACGUAAUUAAAUAUUGUUUGAAGUCAGCGCAGUCUGUCAUCUCUCGCAGUUCUUGUCAUUCAAGCUGUACGUAAUUUUAUCUCAUUAAUUGCAAACUAUCCCAAGGAACUACCCUUGUUCAGUAUAAUUAUAAUGUUUGAUAUGACCAUUUGCUGGCAAAUGUUAACAGUGUGAUAUUUAACUUGAACUUUUGCAUGACUGCCUAUGCCUGUGUUCUUUUAGUAACCAGAGUAUGGCUAAUUUAUUAAACCAUAUUUGCUAAUUUGCAUGCUCACAUGCUAUAGCAUGCCUUAAUCUUGAAUUACUGCAUCUAAGUGCAAAUAAUUUAGAAAUUUACUAUGUAUUUUAAAACACUGUCCACAUUUUGUGCUCAGCAAAAUCGUUUAAUCAACAGUGGUUUGUUUUUAUCAGGCCUCCUGCUGCACUUUGCACCCAGGCACUAGUAGAUGUGGAAUAUGCACUCUUUUGAUUUAUAGUAAGCAAAGAACCUAUUUUCAAACUACAUAUUGUAUAUGUACCAGUGCCUUAGAGUUACAAAACAAAAAUUUAUAGAAACUGGUAUUGUAGUUAGAAAAACCGCUACACAGCACCUUUAGCCCAGAGAACUCUCAUUUCACAAAAGAGGACAAACUAUGUAGGCGCUAAAAAAUUCUACGUAUUUUUUGUGCUCAAGUAAUCUUGUUGGAAAUAGAAAAUUAGCAAUAAGGCUCCUGGCAUAAACCUCACUUAAAGCAUGUCUAUGCUUGGAAAGUAUUCUUUCAGUCUGAAAAAUGUUGGCCAGUUAUGCUUUACAUCGACUUUCCAAACUUUUCAUAAUGCUUUGCGAUUACAUUAGUGUACAAAAUAACAGGUGUCUUUCUAGUGCGUUUGCUCUGCAUUUCAAUUGCUUCCCUAAUUCACCUUUGCAAUAUGCCUUUUUUUAAGGCAUCAAAACUUGAAUUUUCGUUCACUGGAGCCUAAUACUAAAAAUUUAUUCCUUUAUGUGGCCCAAAACACUGCGAAUCAACCCAGGCUCUUUCAGUGCCGCUAUACAUAGUUUCUUCUCUAAUAACAGAUUUGAUCAAUACAUAUAUUUUAGGUACCUUUGUGGGGAAUGUACAUGUUCUUGUACUUACCGAUGUGUUUGGUGAUUGUGCAUGAUUAUAUUUCAUGUGAUUUAUGUAUAUGUUGUACUCUGUAUUGCAGCAUGCAAUAAAUAUAUUUGCAUUUUCUUGAAAAUGCAGCAUAUAUCUUACCAGUCUGUGUUGCAUGUUAUUUGGAUAUGGAAAUCGUGAUAACCUUGGUGUUGAUAUACAUGCUCAAAAGUGUCCAAGUUUGCUAGGUUGUAUUUGUGCAGCGAAGACAGGUUUUCCAAUAUACACCAUGAAUUACUAAUAUGUAAUGUGAUCCACACGUAUAGGUGUUGUGUAUGCCCAUCGAAGCUUCAAGGCCGGCUGUUCGACAGUGCGUUUUGUAGCCGAACUUGAACCUUCUGGCACACGCAGUAGUUGCGCAUGGAUCGCUGUACAUAGUAGUAAUUGAAGGCGUGUACUGCCGAAUCUGCCUUCCAUACACACUAGAAAUAAAAGGGUCUACACCCUUCCAACACCCACACAGAUGGGUGUUAAUUUGGAUGAGCAGCCUUACACCCUAAAUUUAUUUUGCUGGACACCCUUCCUUUAGGGUGCUAUAGUGGCACCCCAACUGUAGGGUGUAGACAACAGCAUCCUUAGGGUGUUCGUCUGGCGACAAACUGAUUUACACCCUUAAGGGUGUUAAAAUGUUUAGUGUGUAUGCACCAGAAUGUCACUGGUAGUGGAAUAUCUAUAUUUUAAGCUGUUCCAGUUAAUAGAGGGUAGCUUAAAGACUCCAGUAACAAUCAGGUUUCUACCGGAUAGUUUUAGAAGGUGGUCGUACAAUUUGUGCAGAAAGGCAUCGCUAGUAUCUGGUGGUCGAUAAACAACGCCAAGAAAAAAACGUGAUUCCCAGAAAUGACACCCUUAAGAUUAAACUUAACCGCCGUGGUUGCUCAGUGGCUAUGGUGUUGGGCUGCUGAGCACGAGGUCGCGGGAUCGAAUCCCGGCCACGGCGGCCGCAUUUCGAUGGAGACGAAAACACCCGUUUACUUAGAUUUAGGUGCACGUCAGAGAACCCCAGGUGGUCAAAAUUUCCGGUGUCCUCAACUACGGCGUGCUUCAUAAUCAGAAAGUGGUUAUGGCACGUAAAACCUAAUAAUUUUUUUUAAAGAUUGAACUUUCAUGUUCAAUGAUUUGAUCUGUAACCGUUAUCCAAUACCAUGGAUGGUGGGCUCGGUAGCAUCGCCCGGAGCACUAUGACUUACUUCGUACUGUUCUUCGUACAGAUCCAGCUGGGGUUACGUGGAUGCAGCGCUGGUUCCUUCCCUGCCUCGGCAAAGGCGAUGGCGUCAACGGCGCCGAUCACACGACAACCGAUUUCCACUGCACUGAGCGUAUCGCCAGCAUUGAUACCGACAUGCUCACGUCACAUGGAUUUAGGACCGGCUGAGUCACACCUGGAUCGCUCAUUUGGCUCACCAGCGACCCCUGGAACAUCGGUGGACCAGCUUAAAAGGAAGCCCAGCAGCCGCGCGCAACUCAGUGGGCUCGGUAGCAUCGCCCGGAGCACUAUGACUUACUUCGUACUGUUCUUCGUACAGGUUGGUAACAAAUGGCGUUUUUGCGCUUGCGUUAAGAGCAAUGAUGUCUGUCUGGUAGUGCUGCCGAGCCCACAGUGCGCACUGCUUUGUUGUUUGGAAUCAUUUCGCGUCAUUCUCAUGGUAUUGCAACGGAGUGGUGACGUAGAGCAAAGCCCGGCCCCGAUAAACUAGAUGAAAUAUUGCGGGCUGUAACUGAAAUCCGAACUUCGCACUCGACCUUAGAAACUGGUCUAGCAAAUGUGCAGCAGAGGCUUUCACAAAUGGAAGCGACCCUCUCGUCACUCAGGCAAUAUCACGAGAAAGUUGAUAAGUGUGAGGCAACUGUGCACGCCAUGCGCAGUGAAGUUGCCCAAAUGACUAGAAAAAUUGAUGAGCUGGAAAAUAGGAGCCGCCGCAAUAACCUAGUCAUAUAUGGCGUGAAAGAGCACGAUAAGGAAAAUCCCGCAGCCUUGGAAUCGUUUGUAACAAAAGAUAUACUGCAUAAUAUUCUAGACGUUCAGGUCAGAACUGUGGAACGCGUACACCGAAUUGGCUUAAAAAAGCCGGGUCGAGAUCGACCAAUCAUACUACGCUUUUAUGACUUUACCGAAAAAAUGACAGUACUUCGGAACUGUUUCAAAUUGAAAGGAAACAAAAUUUCAAUUUCUGAAGACUUUUCCGCUGACAUUCGUGAAAUACGCAAAAAGCUAUGGCAAGCCGCGGCAGGUUGUCGGAAUAACGGCGAUAAAGUCAGCCUACAUUUUGACAAAUUAAGGAUUAAUGAAGACCUGUACGUAUGGAAUAAUGAUCAGAAAAAAAUGGAGCCAUUGCACCGCUCGAAGCCCCACGUGACAGCGAACGCUAGCACUUCCAAUGAAUGACAAACAGAAAGUACUGCACGGCUGACGUUGCUGUGCUUUAAUGCGAGAAGCAUUGUCAAUAAACUUGAAAAGCUUGAGGAACUGCUGCUGUUGUAUGGCCCAGAUGUAAUCGUAAUUACAGAAACGUGGUUGAACUCGGAUAUCCACGAUUCUGAGGUGGUUCCUCCCUCCUAUGCAUUUUUGCGCACAGAUCGGGACGGUCACGGUGGAGGCGUUGCUGUUGCUGUUAAGCGGAAUUUGUUUGUCCACCGAGAAACUGGCAUUACUAAUCAUGAGAGCGUCUGGUGUACAAUAAAGGUCAAUGAUGUCAAUUCACUAAUAGGUGGUGUAUACAGGCGACCAGGCGCGCCGGACAGUUACCUUGUAGAACUGUACGACUUCUUAUAUAACCACACCAACCAAAGAACGAAAUUAAUUCUAGCUGGAGACUUUAACUUAGGGGGCAUUGAUUGGGAUACCUUGUUAAUCGGCAACAAAGAAGUCAAAAGUUGUGAUCUUCUUCUUGAUAUCAUGCAGACUUUCUCGCUAGCUCAACUUGUGCAUGAACCAACUCGCGUCCAAGGGCAAGUGUGCUCAGUGCUAGACCUUGUCUUUGUGUCCACAUCUUUAACCCCUGAAGUUAGCAUAGAACCGGGUAUAUCCGACCAUAAAAUGAUUUUACUGACGGUUGACGAUCUUGGCAUGGGUGCAAGGCCCUCUAGUACUGACACCAAAAUUUUGGUUAAGAAUUACACGAGGGCUAAUGAUGAAAGCAUCAUUGAUUUUUUAGGAAUUAUGGAAGAUGAUUUUGACGAUGGUACGUUGGACGCCAACGACCUAUGGUUAAAAUUAAAAAAUGGGAUUUCGCACUGUGAAAGUAAUUUCAUUCCUACCAAGCUUAAAAAGAUAAAGCGGAGGUCGCCGUGGAUUACAAGAACUAUCAUACACCUCAAAAGAAGGGUUCAAAGGAUGCGCAAGAAAAAACAUAAUCCCACUAUGGUUAGUCAGCUUUCACGAGAACUGAAAGAAAGGUUAAAAAGCGCGAGAGACAACUUUUUUUCCAAUACUUUACUUGAGUUCAUGACAAAUCAGCCUCGGAAAUUCUGGCGGUAUCUGUCAAAACCGGAAAGUCCUCCAAUGAAAUUGGAAAUUGCCGGUAUAGUGGUUGAGGAUGCGCGUACCAUCGCUAACUCAUUCAAUACAUAUUUUCAGUCGGUAUUCUCCCGUGCCCACGCCCCUAAUAUGCCCUUAUCAGAGUAUGACUCUGCAAUGCCUGAAAUCCUGAUAACGGAGUCCGGCAUUUUGAAUUUGCUGCUACAGAUAGACGUUAAAAAAUCGCCUGGCCCUGAUAAUUUAUCAAGCACUUUCCUCAAGCGAUACGCGGGUCAGUUGUCCCCCUUCCUGCAUAAAAUUUUCAGUGCAUCACUUGAAACGGCAGUGCUUCCCGCGGACUGGCUGUGCGCAAAGGUCGUGCCAAUUCAUAAAGGUGGGAACAAGCAGCUUCUUGACACAUACAGGCCAAUAUCCCUAACCAGCACAUGUUGCAAACUAAUGGAACAUAUAAUAAAUAAAGCUAUCGUAACUUAUCUGGAAGAAAAUAACCUAUUAUACUUCAGACAACACGGCUUCAGGCAAGGGCUUUCAACUGUAACUCAACUUUUAGAAAUUAUACAUGACUUUGCUGUAACAAUCGAUGCAAGACUGCAAGCUGACGCAAUUUUUGUCGAUUUUUCGAAGGCAUUCGACCGCGUUCCACACAGUUUACUAAUCUUCAAACUUAAAUCAAUUGGUAUUAAUCCCAAGACUGUUUCAUGGAUCGAAGCCUACCUUUCGAAUCGGUCCCAGUUUGUUUGCGUAAAAAAUACUGAAUCGGACUAUCUUGAUGUUCUUUCUGGUGUGCCACAGGGAUCGGUUCUGGGGCCCACUCUUUUUCUUUUAUAUAUUAACGACUUGUAUGCAUGUAUGGAACCAGGGGUCACAAUAAGGCUUUUUGCGGACGACUGCGUCAUAUACACAACUGUUAGAACAGCCGAUGAACAGACAAAACUUAAUAAGUCUCUGCAAAACAUUGUUGCCUGGUGCGAAAAAUGGGGCAUGCAAAUUAACACACAGAAAACCAGGUGUAUGACUGUAACACGUAAGAAAGAGCCCUUAAAUUUCACAUAUAAACUAAGUAAUACUUCCUUGGAACGAGUAGACUCAUUCAAAUAUCUAGGUGUCACAAUAACAAGAUCGCUGAAAUGGGACGUACAUAUCAAUAAUGUUUGCGCACGUGCGUUCAAACAACUCGGAUUUUUACGAAGAAAGCUAGCAACAGCCCCCACCUCGGUGAAAUUAACUGCUUAUAAAACUCUGGUUAGGCCGAUAUUAGAAUACGGCAGCAUAGUAUGGAACCCGCAUCAAAAGUAUUUAAACUUGGCAUUAGAAAAGAUCCAAAGCAGGGCGCUCCGAUUCAUUUACACAAAGUAUUCAAGGUACGACAGCGUAACUGCGCUUCGCACACAAGCAGGCAUACCGACACUUGCUGGUCGGAGGAGGUUGGCCUGUUUGAAGUUCCUUUACCUUCUUUACCAUGACCUGAUAAACUUAACAAAAUCCGACUACUUGGUGCCCCCCGGACGUCUCUCCAGUCGAACUAACCAUGAAAAAUGUAUCAGACCAUUCUUUUCGCGUUGCGACACACUAAAAUACUCAUUUUUCCCUUCAACAAUACAUCUGUGGAAUUCCCUGCCAAGUGACAUCGUUUGCUCACAAUCUGUGCAUUCAUUCGUGUCGACACUCGAAUUGCACUUCGAGUCAUUAUCGGAAUGAUGACCGCAUUCUGGUCGUCUUGGCUGAGCUAUCCUCAAAAGUUAUCAAUGACGUAUUGCCACGCCCCAACUUCUUUCACACGCCGGUGUCCAUAUGCU
This is a long non-coding RNA of Dermacentor albipictus, 9011 nucleotides long. RefSeq lists it as uncharacterized. The record is from RefSeq and is a predicted model, not a curated record. NCBI's taxonomy places the organism in Eukaryota, Metazoa, Arthropoda, Arachnida, Ixodida, Ixodidae.